ACCCCUGUGAGAAUGCCCUACAUCUUCCCUUUCCUGGGAAAAAGGAGCAGGCAUAAGGCACAACCACGAGUUAGCCCACAACGCCUUGCUUAGCCACACCCCCAAGGGAACUCAGCAGUAAUAAACAUUAAGCAAUAAGUGAAAACUUGACUUAGUUAAAGCCAAGAGGGCCGGUAAAACUCGUGCCAGCCACCGCGGUUAUACGAGAGGCCCAAGUUGACAAAUACCGGCGUAAAAUGUGGUUAACAUAAUGAUACACUAAAGCUAAACAUCUUCAAAGCUGUUAUACUCUUAUGAAGACAGGAAGCACUUCUACGAAAGUGGCUUUAAGUAAUGCUACCCACGAAAGCUAGGAAACAAACUGGGAUUAGAUACCCCACUAUGCCUAGCCUUAAACACAAGCAAUACCUUUACACCUUUUGCUUGCCAGGGAACUACGAGCCCCAGCUUAAAACCCAAAGGACUUGGCGGUGCUUUAGACCCCCCUAGAGGAGCCUGUUCUAGAACCGAUAACCCCCGUUAAACCUCACCUUCUCUUGUUCCUCCCGCCUAUAUACCGCCGUCGUCAGCUUACCCUGUGAAGGACUAACCGUGAGCUUAAUUGGUACAACCCAAAACGUCAGGUCGAGGUGUAGCGUACGAGAAGGGAAGAAAUGGGCUACAUUCACUGAGUCAGUGCAUACGAACAAUGCUUUGAAAUCUAAACAUUCGAAGGAGGAUUUAGCAGUAAGG
Molecule: ribosomal RNA, 732 nt
Filed under: Gymnogobius heptacanthus
Lineage: Eukaryota; Metazoa; Chordata; Actinopteri; Gobiiformes; Gobiidae
Description: partial 12S rRNA
Rfam family: Bacterial small subunit ribosomal RNA
Source: RNAcentral